This 475-nucleotide ribosomal RNA is filed under the name uncultured bacterium. RNAcentral describes it as "partial 16S ribosomal RNA". It matches the Rfam family "Bacterial small subunit ribosomal RNA", at positions 28 to 507 of the family's 1533-position model. The record is from RNAcentral.
GAUGAACGCUAGCGGCAGGCCUAACACAUGCAAGUCGAGGGAUAAGCCUUCGGGCUAAGACCGGCGCACGGGUGCGUAACGCGUAUACAAUCUGCCUUUUAUCCGGGGGAUAGCCCGAAGAAAUUUGGAUUAAUACCCUAUGGUAUAAGAGCACGGCAUCGUGCACUUAUUAAAGCUACGGCGGUAAAAGAUGAGUAUGCGUUCUAUUAGCUAGUUGGUGAGGUAACGGCUCCCCAAGGCGACGAUAGAUAGGGGUUCUGAGAGGGAUGUCCCCCACACUGGUACUGCGAUACGGACCAGACUCCUACGGGAGGCAGCAGUGAGGAAUACUGGACAAUGGUCGGAAGACUGAUCCAGCCAUGCCGCGUGCAGGAUGACGGCCUUAUGGGUGGUAAACUGCUUUUGUAAGGGAAGAAUAAGGAGUACGUGUACUUUGAUGACGGUACCUUACGAAUAAGCACCGGCUAACUCCGUG